RNAcentral lists this ribosomal RNA (407 nucleotides) under uncultured bacterium. Its description in RNAcentral is "partial 16S ribosomal RNA". It matches the Rfam family "Bacterial small subunit ribosomal RNA", at positions 28 to 526 of the family's 1533-position model. The record is from RNAcentral.
GACGAACGCUGGCGGCGUGCCUAAUACAUGCAAGUAGAACGCAGUUGCGAACGGGUGAGUAACGCGUAGGUAACUGCCUCAUAGCGUGGGAUAACUAUUGGAAACGUUAGCUAAUACCGCAUACUUUGAGAUGGACCUGCGUUGUAUUUGCUAGUUGGUGAGGUAAAGGCUCACCAAGGCGACGAUACAUAGCCGACCUGAGAAGGUGAUCGGGCACAAUUGGACGUAGACACUGCCCAGACUCCUAGGGGAGGCAGCAGUGGGGAAUCUUCGGCAAUUGACGGAAGUCUGACCGAGCAAAGCCGGGUGAGUGAAGAAGGUUUUCGGAUCGUAAAGCUCUGUUGUUAGAGGAGCGGUACCUAACCAGAAAGGGACGGCUAACUACGUGCCAGCAGCCGCGGUAAUAC